CCUCCUGCCCCUUCCCCACGUGUAAAUGCGUCACAGGCUCUUAGGGGACAGGCUGACCCCCAUGGCUCGAUCUUCCCAAACACUGUCGGGGGCAGGUCUGCCAGGAGUCCUUGCUGAGGCCCUGGGGAAGUUUCCUUUGCUUGGAACAAUUUGGGUAGAAGGUUUCAAAUGAACUGGAGUGAAAAAGCAGAAGAUGAAAACCUGGGCGUGCCCUUCACAAAUGGGAAGAGACACGCGGGCGCACGUCUGUGAGUGUGGGGGCUGGGCUCCGAGUGAGACUUGUUGCGGGAACACAGCACUCCUUGUUCGAGGGUUGGAUCUGACGGAUCCGGGGCCUAAACUGGGAGGCCCUUCACACGAGGCUGUGGUUUCCUUCCUGCCUCGCCAUGAAAAGACUAUUUUUGCCGAGCUGUGUAAGUCUGUGUGUACGCCGGGCACGCAUGGCUGUCGGAUGCCAAGCCCGAAUAGCUGUACUCACACAGCUCAGCGAGACAGCCGCCCAAACAAAGCCGCCCCCCGGGCCCUGGCCGCCGACAGAGGGAAGAGGGGACCACGCUGAGCCCCAGGAAAAUCAAUUUCUGUCUGAUCCCCCCAAACCGAACUCAUGGUCACAGAAGACACCGUGGUUGAUGAAGGCUGGAGCAGGGGUGGAAGGAAGGAGAGAAGGUGAUCUGAGGGCACAAGAGUCCAGAAAACGGAAAGGACAAAUGGCCUCGAAUCCCUCUCAGAAGCGGAUGGGCAACAUCUGGAGAAUACAGCCAGCUAGCCAGUGAGACCCUCAUCCACACCGUCCCCCCACCAGCAGACCUACAUCCCCUCUGGACCCUGAGGCCUCAGGGGGCAGCAGGGGGUCUACGGCCCGGCUCAGAGAAAUGUUUUUGAUGCGUAAAGUAAAAACGUAGGAUCACAGCAACUGCACCACUGUUGUGGAAAUGUUUCUUUAAAAGCACAGUCAUGAGAUAG
RNAcentral lists this long non-coding RNA (963 nucleotides) under Sus scrofa (pig). Its description in RNAcentral is "lncRNA (ENSSSCG00030022587.1)". The record is from RNAcentral. Lineage: Eukaryota; Metazoa; Chordata; Mammalia; Artiodactyla; Suidae.